This is a long non-coding RNA of Quercus robur (English oak), 1186 nucleotides long. RefSeq lists it as uncharacterized. The transcript has 3 exons. Lineage: Eukaryota; Viridiplantae; Streptophyta; Magnoliopsida; Fagales; Fagaceae. The record is from RefSeq and is a predicted model, not a curated record.
AGUUAGCUAUUUUUCCCCAAAUUCUUCUCCUCCAAACCAUCCACAAGAACCUAUCUAGAGCGACGAUUACUAAACAAAACCCUAAGCAAGACCCACAAAAGAAGAAACAGAUCCCUAAGCCAUGAACGGUACCUCACCAGCUCUAGCGAGGGAAUUGUUCUCGCCAAACAAUAAAAAUCCAUUGUUUAUUUGCUGUCCUGCGUUCCCUCUCUCUCUCGACCGUGCUUUCUUUCCUCUCUCUUCGACUACGCUCCAUUUUCAGAAAGGACCUCACCAUUAAUUGACCUCGCCAGCGCAGGGAAAGGGGUUUUACACGGCGACAAUCAAAACCCAUUUCAGGGAGGCCUUACUGCUACAGAUGUUUUUGCGGUUGAGUGGAUUCAGACUGGUGUUAUUCACUUUGGGAUGACAGUCUCAUAUUUUGGUUUUGUUAGUGAUGUGUUGGAACUUUCUGAGAAAUAUCAGAGGCGCUUUGGUCCUCUGUGUUAUCUUGUUGCUGGAUUUCUAGUUCUAAUGCUUGCCAAAGUACAACUAUGAAGUGAAAUAUCUUCCAGCAUCAAAAGAGGAUCGAGAGGGAAAGUUCUCAGCUGACUGGGAGGUAGUUGACAUGUCAGAACUUUACACUGAUAUUUUGAGGAGAUCAAGCAAAGACAGCAUUCCUAGAGCCUCUAGUCUAUCUAGUAUUGACUCAAUAAUGACCCCUAGUCGAAUGUCUGGUGAAGAUUUGGAUACAACCUGCAGUAGUACCCAUGCUAGCACUGAACCAUCUGACUAUGUGCCUGGCCUAGAUCCAAAAGCGAAACACCUAUCAUCUGGAAGGAGCAAUGUAACAGCAGAGCCAGAGGUUAUUCAUCCUCAGCCACCUCUGUCAACAACUCCAAAAGGAAUGACUCAUGGCUACAUGAUCAAAAGGAAUCUAUUUUCAAAGUGGGCAUAUCACAUGAACAAAAGUCUAAUCGAGUAAUGUAAUAAGGAGGGCCUUGAAGUGUUAUAAAAAAAUAAAAAGGAGGGUCUUGAAGUACUAGGGGUGUUUCUCUCUCCUUGUUAAACCCUUUAACCUGAUGGUUAUAUCUUUUAUGAUAUAAAUAAAAUCAAGUACAAAAAAGUCUAGGAAACAUGGUCCUUAUGCAUCAACUAAUAAUUGCUCGUUCUUAUAAAUUUGAUUGGGCUGGUAUUUGGAAUGAAA